GNANAUUUUAUAUCUUGAAACUGCGAACGGCUCAUUAAAUCAGUUAUAAUCUACUUGAUUGUAAAAUCUACAUGGAUAACUGUAGUAAUUCUAGAGCUAAUACAUGCAAAAAAUCCUGACUGUUAUAGAAAGGAUGUAUUUAUUAGGUACAAAAUCAAUGCUGGCACUUGUGUCAGGUUUAUUGAUGAUUCAUAAUAACUAAACGAAGCGCACGACCUUGAGUUGGCGCUGAUACAAACGAGUUUCUGCCCUAUCAACUUUCGAUGGUAGUAUAGAGGACUACCAUGGUUUCAACGGGUAACGGGAAAUA
Molecule: ribosomal RNA, 310 nt
Filed under: uncultured fungus
Lineage: Eukaryota; Fungi
Description: bacterial SSU rRNA
Rfam family: Eukaryotic small subunit ribosomal RNA
Source: RNAcentral